Molecule: ribosomal RNA, 382 nt
Filed under: uncultured bacterium
Lineage: Bacteria
Description: bacterial SSU rRNA
Rfam family: Bacterial small subunit ribosomal RNA
Source: RNAcentral
GACGAACGCUGGCGGCGUGCUUAACACAUGCAAGUCGAGCGGUAAGGCCCUUUCGGGGGUACACGAGCGGCGAACGGGUGAGUAACACGUGGGUAAUCUACCUUUGGGUGGGGAAUAACAGCCGGAAACGGCCGCUAAUACCGCAUAAUGCAGCGGCUCGACAUCGAGACAGUUGUUAAAGCGGGGGAUCGCAAGACCUCGCGCCUAAAGAGGAGCCUGCGGCGGAUUAGCUUGUUGGNGAGGUAAUGGCUCACCAAGGCAUCGAUCCGUAGCCGGCCUGAGAGGGCGGUCGGCCACACUGACACUGACAUACGGGUCGANACUCCUACGGGAGGCAGCAGUCGGGAAUUUUGGGCAAUGGGCGCAAGCCUGACCCACGCAA